This is a long non-coding RNA of Pieris rapae (cabbage white), 306 nucleotides long. RefSeq lists it as uncharacterized. Lineage: Eukaryota; Metazoa; Arthropoda; Insecta; Lepidoptera; Pieridae. The transcript has 2 exons. The record is from RefSeq and is a predicted model, not a curated record.
UAAAACAUCUGUUUUGAGUCGUGUUUUUUGUGUUAAAUCGAAACUGGUCUUGUUUAAUAUGACAGUAUACAAAGAAUUCUUCUCUCGGUAACACGUGUGCUUAACUUGUAAUAUAUAUCAAUAUGAAGAUCUUUCAACUGGAGACCGUAAUUCUGUUCAUUCUACUUCUUUUAGGAGUUCAGGCCAACAGCCGAACUGGGGUUUUAAGUCCAGAUGGAAAAAAUCAAUGUCCCAAAAACACGACACCAGUGCUAAAUGGCGGAAAAAUAACAUGUUUACCAACCAAUAAAAGUUAAUAACACAUUA